RNAcentral lists this ribosomal RNA (159 nucleotides) under uncultured Suillus. RNAcentral describes it as "5.8S ribosomal RNA". It matches the Rfam family "5.8S ribosomal RNA". From Rfam's summary of the family: 5.8S ribosomal RNA (5.8S rRNA) is a component of the large subunit of the eukaryotic ribosome. It is transcribed by RNA polymerase I as part of the 45S precursor that also contains 18S and 28S rRNA. Lineage: Eukaryota; Fungi; Basidiomycota; Agaricomycetes; Boletales; Suillaceae. The record is from RNAcentral.
CAACUUUCAGCAAUGGAUCUCUUGGCUCUCGCAUCGAUGAAGAACGCAGUGAAUCGCGAUAUGUAAUGUGAAUAGCAGAUCUACAGUGAAUCAUCGAAUCUUUGAACGCACCUUGCGCUCCUCGUUGUUCCGAUGAGCAUGCCUGUUUGAGCGUCAGUA